CUCAUCUUGACUAUGAUCAGGCCCUCCCCGGAGCCCAGCUUGUCGGCAACUGCACUGAUGACUUCCUUCACCGAAGUGGCCACUGGCACCCGAAUGGUUGUGUAGGUGUGGUCCAUGCAAUAGACCUUAAACAGAACUCUCACCUUCAUCAGAGCCGCGGAUAGGCUGGCGCUUCUGGGCUCUCUCAUCGCCCGUAUUGAACUGUUGCAAAAGAACCUUGUGCUGUAAAACUACCUUCUUUUGUGGUGCCUUUGCAUCUUCUGAGCUACGAGAAGUAGAGAAAGCACCAAGCCCUUCCUUACAUUUGCUUGACAAUCUUCUCCAACUCUGGCAGUUGCUCCUUGAGGGCAGCAAUCAUCCGGGCAUCAUCUGAUACAGAUACAUAAAACUCCUGUAAUUGGCAAAAGUCACA
This 412-nucleotide long non-coding RNA is filed under the name Homo sapiens (human). RNAcentral's name for it is "long non-coding RNA NONHSAT185899". The record is from RNAcentral. Lineage: Eukaryota; Metazoa; Chordata; Mammalia; Primates; Hominidae.